Molecule: ribosomal RNA, 466 nt
Filed under: uncultured bacterium
Lineage: Bacteria
Description: bacterial SSU rRNA
Rfam family: Bacterial small subunit ribosomal RNA
Source: RNAcentral
GGCCAGACUCCUACGGGAGGCAGCAGUGAGGAAUAUUGGUCAAUGGUCGGGAGACUGAACCAGCCAAGCCGCGUGAGGGAGGAAGGUACAGAGUAUCGUAAACCUCUUUUGUCAGGGGACAAAGACUGGGACGCGUCCCCGGAUGAGUGUACCUGAAGAAAAAGCAUCGGCUAACUCCGUGCCAGCAGCCGCGGUAAUACGGAGGAUGCGAGCGUUAUCCGGAUUUAUUGGGUUUAAAGGGUGCGCAGGCGGAGGUGCAAGUCAGUGGUCAAAUUGCGGGGCUCAACCCCGUACUGCCGUUGAAACUGCAUCCCUUGAGUGCGCGAGAAGUAUGCGGAAUGCGUGGUGUAGCGGUGAAAUGCUUAGAUAUCACGAAGAACCCCGAUUGCGAAGGCAGCUUACUAAACUGUGACUGACAUUGAUGCUCGAAAGUGUGGGUAUCAAACAGGAUUAGAUACCCCGGUAC